UUUACCUUUACCCUUUAUUUUUCUCAGCUUUCCUGCCUUUCUCUUCCUCCGAAUAAGCCAUUUCCAAAGAAUCCCUAACUCACAGCACCACCUCCACCGAUCCCUACUCCCUAGUUAGCUCAGCUCAGGCCAAAAUGAAAGAAAAUUUUCAUUUGUUAAGUCGCUUCCGAGCUUGAUGUCGAAGCUCAGCUCAGCUCAGGCCAAAAUCGAAGCUCUCUCUCAUUUCUCUUGUUGAAGCUCUCUCUCAUUUCUCUCGGCUCUAGCUUCUUCAUUUGCGGUCUCGGAGCUCCCCACCAGUUGUAACUGUAAGCUUCUUCUUCAUUUACCACAACUUGAAUAUUACUUGUAGGCUGUAGUUUAACUUUUUUUUCUUAUUCUUCUUCAUUUGCGGUCUGUAGCUUUAUUUUUACCUUAUUCUGAUUUUGGUUUUUCUGCUAUUUUGUUUAUAGGUUUUGUGGUUUUUCUUAUUCUAGUUUUUCUGCUAUUGUGUUUAUAGUUUUUGUGGUUUUUCUUAUUCUGGUUUUUCUGCUAUUAUGUUUAUAGUUUUUGUGGUUUUUCUUAUUCUGGUUUUUCUUCUAUUGGGCUUUUCUGCUAUUGUGUUUAUAGUUUUUGUAGGUCUUCUUAUUCUGGUUUUUCUGCUAUUACUGUCUCUAGCUCUCGUAAUUCAUCCAAUAAAUAAUUUCAAAAAAAUUAAAUCGGUAAAAAAUUUGACACUUUUUUUAAUCGAAGUUGAAUAAAUGGAUAUUUAAGUUAAAUUUGGACCCGAGAAAUAGUGGCCUAUGUUUGAAUGCUUCAUGUUCUAUAAUUUCUAAAGUCAACUUUUUCAUUAAUCUUAAUUAAUAAAGUUAGAUUCCAUAUUUAAUUAGGGCCUGAAAAUUAAAUUUAGACUUAAUUCCAAAAAGUAAGCACCAAUAUAAAAUUAUUUAAUUUAAUUGUCAUUAUAAGGUUAUUUUUUUACUAAAUUCAAAGACAAAAAUCAUUACAAGGUUCUUUUUUUACUAAAUUCGAAGACAAAAAUCAUACCUGAUUUGAGCAUAUUUUUAUUAUUUUCUUUGUUAUGAUAAAUCUUAAAAUUGCAUAUAAAUUUAUCAUUAAACAAAGCAAUUGAAUUUGGCAGUGGGAUUUAUCUCGUCUCAACUCUCAAGUUAACAUGUCAGCUUUUAAAAAUUUCAAGAAAUUUUAGUUUGAGUCAUUAUUCUACAAACCUCAGUGAUCGAACUGAUGAAAACACGUGUAUUUUCAAAAGAUUUAUGUUUACUACUUAUGAUGAUGCAUCUCUCAUUUUCACAGCAUGGUUUAUAUGCUCUUUAUUUGUCUUUUAUUAUGUUUUCAAUUUGUGUAGUGUUUUAAGAAUUGUUUUAGUAUCAUUUUUUAUUUGUUUCUUGUUUUAAUAUUUAUUUUUAUGUUUUUAAAUGUAUUUGAUUUAUUACAUUUUAAAAUUUUUUAUUUAAUAAAAAAAGCUAAAAAAAUAUUACAAAUUGCCUUAUUCACUUGCAAAUACCACACUUAAUUAUAUAUAUUUUAUUUACAUGAUUUUUACUCUAAACGUUUGCACGUUUAAAGGCGGUUAUACUCCCCACUAAUGGCAACAUCACAUUAAAUCUUUGAGUCGACGCAUUCCAAUCUUGUGUAAUAGACUUUCAAACGUUAAAGUUGACAAUGCCUUGGUAAAAAGAUCUAUUAAAUUAUCACUAGAACAACUUUGUUGAAAUUCUAUAUCACUAUUUUUUUCUCAAUAUCAUGAGUGAAGAAUAAUUUUGGUGAAAUAUGUUUCGUUCUAUUACCUGUGAUGUAACCAUCCUUCAAUUGAGCUAUAUAUGUUGCAUUGUCUUCAUAUAAGAUAGUUAGCAUCUUUUCUUGUAAAGAAAAUUUACAUAUCUUCUGGAUAUAUUGGGUCAAUAACCUUAGUCAAACACACUCUCCCAAACACACUCUCGACUUGCCUCAUGCAUUGCAAUUAUUUCUACAUGAUUUAAGGAGGUAGCAACUAAUUUAUGCUUUGUUGAACACCAUGAUAUGGCAGUACCUCCACAUAUAAAUAAAUAUCUCGUUUGAGAUCGACCUUUAUGUAACGCCCCAAGUUUUAAUUUAUGUUUUGAUUAAAUAUGACACAAGUGUGUAUCUACUUCAGUGGUUAAGUGUUCUGGGUGUGUGUGUGUGAGGUCCCAAGUUCAAUCCUUAGCUUGGGAAAAUUUUAUAUUUUUAAGACUAAAGCCCGAUCCCUAGUUAAUAGGCUUAUAUUUAUUGUUUGCGAAAACAUAUCAGAAUGGACCUGCUAGUUUGGUGGUUAAGUGGAGUGUUGGAGUGAUGGAGGUCUGGUGUUCAAAUCUCAGUGGAAACGAUGAGUGUAAUAUCUUUUUGCUUCUGGAUGUACUAGGUGUGUGAAAGAGUUUGAGGGGAGGUGAAAUUCGGAUAGUGGGCAGUUGUUGAGAGGACAUUGUGGGGGUAGUGGAUUGGAGGUUAAAUUCAUCUUCUGACAUUUCGUUUUCCCCCAACUCUGCCAAAAUUUUUUCCCCGUUUUGCCGAAAUUUGCCUUUCUCUUUCUUUUCUAUUCUCAAUUUCGUUUCCAACUCGUAUUGGUUGCACAGCGUAGUCACGCAUUCGGUAAGUUUUGGUCUUCAUUUAGCCUUAAAUUGUUCUUUCUCUGAAUAUUGAUUAAGAGGGGUUUUGGUUGGUUUUUAGGUGGUGGUCGAGGGGCUAGAGACCAGCCAUUACAGUAUUAAGAGUGCGAAGUUCUUCAUCUUGAUCAAAGGUGAGGUUUUGAUAGAGUAUCUAUGGUCAGUAUCGUUAUGUUUUUGCUUGAAAGACGAUUUAAGUGACUGAAAUUGGGCUUUGGAUUGUCGAUUUUAGGUACUGGAGUGCUUGGGACUGUUUAGGUAUCAAUAUUGACACAAAUGUGUACUCGAAAACAUAGAAAACGAGAAUCGACGAAAGCUAAAAAAUAAUCCUGUCGACGCCACAUGGGGGUGUGGUUUCCCGUGAGGUAGGCCGUGUGGCAGUACACGGGCAUGUGAUCGAUGAGUAAGGCCAUGCGCUACAGACACAGGCACAUGACACGGCCGUGUAAUGACCGAUGAGGUCAUGUGCGAAACAUGGGCUUGACCUAUACGGCCGUGUAGGACACACGGGCGUAUGAGCUCACACAGGUGUGUGGGAUUUUGGGCCAGGCCGUGUGGAUCCAAUUUGGGCCAUGUGGGCCACAUGGGCGUGUAAGCCCAUUUUUCUGAAAUAAUCUAUAAGGUCACAUGGGUCGCCUGAGUCGACUGUGACCUACCUGGGGUAGGUAAGCAUUACUUAGACCCCUGAUUUUGUGAUCUGGUUAUGUGAUGUACGUAGUAAGCAUGUUACUCUUAGCAUGUGUAUUUGAUCGAUUGUAUGAUCUGUUAAGUUGCAUUAUAGCAUGCCAUAUUGUAUGUUUGCCUUGCAUCGGGCUGGGUUGUUAUUAUUUGGAGGAAGUAUCUGAAAGACUCCUAAGCCUGAUAUCUGGCAGCUCAGCUAUAUUAUCCUGUUUAUGUGUUGCAUUUUGGUACAGUAUGGUGUGUAGGGAUAGGUGAGUUGAUUAUAUCCCCACAUAGUGUGUAGGGCUGGAUGAAGAUGGUGUGUAGAGGCUGGUGGGUAGGAUUCUGAUAUUCUGAUCUGCAUUCUGUAUCUGAGUGGGCUAAGGCCCAUACUGAUUCUGUAAUGGGCUCUGGUCCAAACUGUAUAUACAUGAUUGAUUUUCUGAUAUUAUGCUUUGUGCACGUAUUCUGUGGGAAUUACACACAGAGUUUGCAAAAAUUCACCCCUUUCUGUUUGAUCUGUUCAGGUAAUCCCCAGCAUUAGACGGAUCGGAGCAGUGAAGGACUCGCCAGUAACCACUGCUACUGCUACAUGACAAAUUUACGGUUUCUUCUUAUCAUUGUUUUAAUUUUUAUUUUGGGAAAAUUUUGAUGUAAUAAUGGCCAUUACGGGUUUUAUCACUAUAAAAGCACGACGUUUUCUAGAAAUUAAAGUUUCCUAGAAACGAAUAGUUUUCCUUUUAAAAAUAAAAGUUCACAAGCUUUCGCGUAAAAGAAAUGUUUUAAAUACAAAUCAAUUAGUCCAGGUUUUUCUUGAACUAGGUAAAAGAUAAUAACUGGAACGGUUUUAAGAUCAAUGUGUUUAUAAAAACACUCUCAUGUGACAUCGCUAGAUUCGGCCAUAACGUGCAGGUCAGGUUUAGGGUGUUACACUUUAUGUGGAUCCGAUAAAUACCCAGCAUUAAGAUAGCCAACUAAUAGAGAUUUUAAAUCAUUUGAAUAAAAUAACCUCAUAUUAAUGGUCCCUCUGAGAUAUCUAAUGUAACACCCCAGUUUUCGCAAGGUCGAGGUUUUGGUGGAUAAUUGUAAAAUAAUUUGUUCAGCGAAGUGUUAUCUGUCCAAAAUUUCUCUUCUAACGUAUAGAUUGGGUGUAUAGAAAUCGUUUGGAUUAUUAGUAAAGAUUUAUUUCAGAUUGCUUUGCUAUGAGAAGAGGAAGAUUUUAGAAAAUAAAAAGGGUAAUUAUGAUUUGAGUUAAUGCCAAAGGUAUAUCACGUCCUGUUUGUUUGAGUAUUGUGUUAGUUAAGUUGUUAAGCAAUAUGGUUAGAAAUCAAAUAGAUAGUCUAGUUAGAUAAUUAUUAUAUUGGAUUUUUAUUUAUAUUGUAACACCCCUUAACCCUAAAUCGUCACCAGAACAGGGUUAUGAGGUAUUACCUGACAUAUCAAAUCAAAUACGAAAUUUAAGCAAAUAAUUUAUAUACAUUUCAUAAAUAUAUCAUGUGUAUUAUUCAAAUCAAUUCAAUUGAUUUCAUUUAAUCCAAUUCAAAUACCAUACCAAAAUAACCCAAACAUACCAUUUCAUAAUCUUAACAUUUAAUUUAUAUUGUAUAUAACCAUCCAAGGUUAAUUUAUAAUACCAUUCACAAACAUAUUUCAAAAUGACCUAUACAAUCAACUUAGGUACAUGCCAUUUUACAAAAGAGAAUAUAUAUCACCACUUUGCUGAGUUCAGAAUUGGCUUGGAUGCUGAUCCGGAACUUUUGACUUCAACUUACCUGCGCAUGGAAAUAACCGUACGCUGAGUAUAUACACUCAAUGGUAUUACUAUAAUUCAAACUUUAAUAGAAAAAUAAAUAAAUAAAUAUGCACUAAACUUUCAUUUCUUAACCAUAGAUAUUUCAAAUAACUUUUCUCCAUUUUGAUUCACACAUUAUUUCACCAUAUCAAAAAUCCAUUCCAUGAACCCAUGGUUUAAACAUUUUCUUUUCAUAUCUCAAUUCAAUAUCUCAUUCCAAUUCAUAUACAAAAUCAUACGGUUUAUCAAUUCAUUUAAUACCAAUUUUAAUUUCCAAUUCGUUCAUUUACCCCUAUUAACUUGACUUGGACUUUGAUGGAUACACGUAUCCAACCAAGCACACCAGUAUGGCACCUUGUGCCUCAUCGGCCUUGCCGAAGUGAAUUGGUAUUUAGUACCUCAUCGGAUUUAAUCCGAAGCAAUAAUACGACACAUAGUGCUCAUCGAAAUUAUCCGAAGCAAUAUUACGACACAUAUAGUACCUUAUCGACUCGAGGUCGAAGUAUCCCUAAACGCUUCCAAUCCUAUGACAUGCCAACUAUAUCCGACUUAGCCCGACUAGUUAAUAGGGUUUCCAAUUCACUUUCUUAAUUCAAUUUCAAUCAAAUUCAUACCAGUCACAAAUUCUCAUAUUUCCAAUUCAAUAUCACAAUAACUUAUUUAAUUCAAUUCAAAUCACUUUCAAUUUCCAAUCAAUAUACAUUCAAAUAUUUACAUAAUUCACAAUUCAAUAUCAUUUCUUACCUCAAUUCCACUUACCACACACAUCAAUUAAAGCUCAAAAAUAAAUAAUAACUAAAUUCGAAUUAUAAUAAUACAAACCGUAAUUUCAAAUCACUCCUCGUCGACUUUUCCUUACCUUUCUUGGUCGAUGUCUCUGGCACGAUGUUAGCUACGAAUAUUAAAUAAGUUAAAAUUAUCAAUAAAACAUCAAUUCACAUCAAAUAUUUAAAUUUUCUAUUCAAUUUUUACCUUAAUUUCAAUUUAAUCCCUAACCAAAAAUGAUUUUCAAUUCUAUCACAAUCUAUACCUUAUUUUCACUUAAUUUCUACUUAUAACUUAACUUAACCCUCAAAUUUUCAUCAUAAAACCCUAAAUUUAAAUUUCGUACAAUUUAGUCCCUAUUACACACAACUUAUAACUUAUUCCACAAUUUAAUCAUUUUCCCAAUUCUAAUUUGAAAUUUCUAUAAAUUAAAUCCCUAAUUCAUCAAUUAAUUCAACAUAAACUACAUCCAAAAAUCUACUAACUUUCUAAAUUUCAACAUAUACCUAAUAUUAUUUUGUUCUAGGAUCAUAAAAACUAAAAAAUCACAAAAAAAAGAAUUAAAUUGACUUACCAAAUUAGCUUGGAACCCUAAUUUCCCUUUUUUUUCUCCUUUCUUUUUCUCCCUAUUCUUCUCUGUUUUCGUUUGCUAUUCUGUUUAUGUUUCUUUUCUUUCUUUUGUUUAUUAUAUAUAAUAAUAUAAUAAUAUAAAUUAAUAUAUAUUACUUAUUUAUUAAGUUAUUAUAAUAUAAUAUAUUAUAUUUUAAUAAAAAAAUAUCUUUGAUAUUUCUAUCUUAAACCGCCUCAACAUUUGAAAAUGGCAUUAUUUCCUAUUUGGUCCUUUUAACUUUCUUUAAUCUAUAAUUAAACUUUCACCUCUAUUGCAAUUAAGUCCUUUUUCCUAGUUACUCUUAUUUUAAGCUAAUUUACCUAACCAAAACCUAAUUAAACUCAAAACUAACUUCGUAAAUAUUUUUAAUAAAUAUUUACGAAUCCGUUUUACUAAAAUGAAGACCCGACAACUUACUUUUUCGAUGCCCGUAAAAUUUGGGUCGUUACAUAUAUUUCUCUCAGAAUCUGUAGACCAUAAAGUAGGACAAACUCUGAUUCAAGUGAAACUUGUCGAAUUACAGUAAGUGAGAUAAUGCUAUAUAUAUGUGGUAGAUGUAACAACUCAUUUUCAGAGGUGUCGGAAACAGUGGUUUCAGGACCACAAUUCUGACGAGUAAAUUAUUAUUUUAUUAUUAUUUUAAUGUUUACAUAAUUAUACUUGUAAAUUAUUAUUUUAUUAUUUUAAUGUUUACAUAAUUAUAUUAAGGUCGUAUUAAAAUUUCAUUAAGAAAUUUUGAUGUUUAAAUGGUUAAUUAGGUGAAAAGGACUAAAUCGAAAAAGGGUAAAAGGUGAGUUCUAUUAGUUAAAAGGAUCUAAUAACUUUAAAAUCUUAAAUUAAAGCAGUUGAAUGGUAAAUAUACCAUUUAAUGAGUUAGUGGAUAGUUAUUGACAAGGUUUUAAUGAAAUUUUAAUGAUUUUAAAAGGUUAAUUUAGUAAUUCAGUAAUUAAAAAGAAAAUUAAAUAAGAAAAGAUGUGUAACACCCUAAACCCGCCCUAGAUAUUAUGGCCGAAUCUGAGAAUAUUAUGAAAAAGGGUUUUGAAACCAAUUUUACCGUGUUGAAAUUUCUCGAAUAAUUUGUUACUAAAAGAGAGUCCACAUUUUAUAAAACACGUUAAUUCUAUCCAUUUAUUAAGGAAAAUGUCGAUAGUCUACUACUAUAAUAAAGCUUAUCUUGUAGCAGAAGUUAGAAAUCGUUAUAUUUAAAAUCCGAGCUUGUGUUUUCGAUAAAUUAUUUGUUUGCAUAAAAACUAUUGUUUUCGUAAAUCGUUUUGUUAAAAGUCGCAAAAUAAUAAAAAUCUAAACAAUUUCAAAAUCUCGAAAUUAAAACCAAUAGUUCAGAGAGUCCAUAAAUUACAAAACUCUUAAAAUAAGCCAGAAUUUAAAUAAAAACGUUAAUUAAACCAGUUCGCAAACUAGUGGUCACUGUUGAGACUCUGUCGUACUGUUAAUAAAAUGAAUGCUAAAGCUUGGUCAUGGACUUCGGUAUGGCUAGCAUGAAUAAGGUUGUCUACAUGGUUGUACGGGUGUAGUGUAUGCGCCAAAAGAAUAGUGUUUGUAGUAAAAUCAGUUUGUGUAUAGAAUUCGCCAAUGGGCGAACUGUAUGACUUACUGAGUUGGAAAGGUUUAUUGGUAUUAUAUAUAGCUAUUGAUAUGUUUGCUUUGGAACUAACUAAGUUCUUUGAAUUUUUUUAGUUACCUUUCCUCCUUAGCAUCGCUGACGAAAUAAGAGACUUUUCGAAGACUAU
RNAcentral lists this long non-coding RNA (8193 nucleotides) under Gossypium barbadense (sea-island cotton). Its description in RNAcentral is "long non-coding RNA (GBAR_LNC010168)". Lineage: Eukaryota; Viridiplantae; Streptophyta; Magnoliopsida; Malvales; Malvaceae. The record is from RNAcentral.